AUGGAGAUGGUGGAGAAGCUAUCUCUCACCACAAGACCACAUCCACAUCCUUACUACAUCCAAUGGUUCAACAACAGCGGCAAGGUUAAGGUAACACGUACUGUUCGUGUGCAUUUUAGUAUCUCUACAUAUGCUGAUUAUGUUGAUUGUGAUGUGGUACCCAUGCAAGCAUGUUCCUUAUUACUAGGUAGACCAUGGCAAUUUGAUAAAAAUUCUGUACACCAUGGUAGAAACAAUCAGUAUACUCUUGUUCAUAAGGAUAAAAAUAUUACUUUGCUUCCUAUGACUCCUGAUUCCAUUUUGAAAGAUGACAUUAAUAGAGCUAAUAAAGCAAAACAGGAGAAAAAUAAGAGUGAAAAUCAGAUUGUGGCAAAGGAAUUUGAGCAACAAAUGAAACCUAAUAAUAAACCAUCUAGUGUUGUUUCUGAAAUUAAAUUGAAAAGUGCAUGUUUACUUGCCACAAAAUCUGAUAUUGAUGAACUAGAUUUCAGCAAAUCUGUUUGCUAUGCUUUUGUGUGCAAAGAGGCAUUAUUUUCAUUCGAGGCCGUGCCUUCCUCUUUGCCCCCUGCUGUCACUCACAUUUUGCAGGAGUUCGCUGACGUCUUCCCACAAGACGUGCCACCGGGAUUACCACCUAUUCGAGGGAUUGAGCAUCAAAUUGACUUAAUUCCCGGUGCAUCGCUACCCAACCGUGCACCAUACCGUACCAAUCCAGCGGAGACGAAGGAGAUUAUGCGUCAAGUACAGGAGCUGCUCGACAAAGGUUAUAUACGCGAAUCUCUUAGUCCUUGUGCUGUUCCUAUUAUACUCGUGCCUAAAAAGGAUGGUACGUCGCGUAUGUGUGUUGAUUGUAGAGGCAUUAAUAAUAUUACUAUUCGUUAUCGUCAUCCUAUUCCUAGGCUCGAUGAUAUGCUUGAUGAAUUGAGUGGCUCUACAAUAUUCUCCAAAGUUGAUUUGCGUAGUGGAUACCAUCAAAUUCGUAUGAAAUUGGGAGAUGAAUGGAAAACUGCAUUUAAAACUAAGUUUGGUUUAUAUGAGUGGUUAGUCAUGCCUUUUGGGUUAACUAAUGCACCUAGUACUUUCAUGAGACUAAUGAACGAAGUUUUACGUGCUUUCAUUGGACGAUUUGUGGUGGUCUAUUUUGAUGAUAUACUGAUUUAUAGCAAAUCUUUGGAAGAACAUUUGGAACAUUUACGUGUUGUUUUUAUUGCUCUACGUGAUGCACGUUUGUUUGGUAACCUUGGGAAGUGCACCUUUUGCACCGACCGAGUAUCUUUUCUUGGCUAUGUUGUUACUCCACAGGGAAUUGAAGUUGAUAAAGCCAAGAUUGAAGCUAUUGAGAGUUGGCCGCAGCCCAAAACGGUCACAGAAGUGCGGAGUUUUCUUGGACUCGCUGGUUUCUAUAGGCGUUUUGUGAGAGAUUUUAGCACCAUUGCUGCACCUCUCAACGAGCUUACAAAGAAGGAUGUGCCUUUUGUUUGGGGUACCGCACAGGAAGAAGCCUUCACGGUAUUGAAAGAUAAGUUGACACAUGCUCCUUUACUCCAACUUCCUGAUUUUAAUAAGACUUUUGAGCUUGAAUGUGAUGCUAGUGGCAUUGGAUUAGGAGGUGUGUUAUUACAAGAUGGCAAACCUGUUGCAUACUUUUCUGAAAAAUUGAGUGGGCCUAGUCUGAAUUAUUCUACUUAUGAUAAAGAACUAUAUGCUCUUGUUCGGACUUUAGAAACAUGGCAACAUUAUUUAUGGCCCAAAGAAUUUGUUAUACAUUCUGAUCAUGAAUCUUUGAAACAUAUUAAAAGUCAAGCUAAACUGAAUCGUAGACAUGCUAAAUGGGUUGAAUUCAUUGAAACUUUCCCUUAUGUCAUUAAACACAAGAAGGGUAAAGAAAAUGUUAUUGCUGAUGCAUUGUCUCGUCGCUAUACUAUGCUUUCACAACUUGACUUCAAAAUAUUUGGUUUGGAGACCAUCAAAGAUCAAUAUGUGCAUGAUGCUGAUUUUAAAGAUGUAUUGCACAAUUGUAAAGAAGGAAGAACCUGGAACAAGUUUGUCGUUAAUGAUGGAUUUGUGUUCCGUGCUAACAAGCUAUGCAUUCCAGCUAGCUCUCUUCGUCUUUUGUUGUUGCAGGAGGCGCAUGGAGGAGGAUUAAUGGGACACUUUGGCGUGAAGAAGACGGAGGACGUACUUGCUACACAUUUCUUUUGGCCAAAGAUGAGACGGGAUGUUGAGCGUUUUGUUGCUCGCUGCACUACAUGUCAAAAAGCUAAGUCACGACUCAAUCCUCAUGGUUUAUAUAUGCCUUUGCCUGUACCUAGUGUUCCUUGGGAGGAUAUAUCUAUGGACUUUGUUUUAGGUUUACCUCGAACAAAGAAGGGGAGGGAUAGCAUAUUUGUUGUCGUGGAUAGAUUCUCGAAAAUGGCGCACUUUAUACCAUGUCAUAAAAGCGAUGAUGCUGUUAAUGUUGCUGAUUUGUUCUUUCGUGAAAUUAAUCGUGAUACUAAAUUUCUUAGCCACUUUUGGAGAUGUUUAUGGGCUAAGUUGGGGACUAAACUGCUUUUUAGUACUACUUGUCACCCCCAAACUGAUGGACAAACUGAAGUAGUCAAUAGAACAUUGUCUACUAUGCUUAGGGCUGUUUUGAAGAAUAAUAAGAAAAUGUGGGAAGAAUGCUUGCCUCAUAUUGAGUUUGCUUAUAAUCGUUCAUUGCAUUCUACUACUAAGAUGUGCCCUUUUGAAAUUGUGUAUGGUUUCCUACCUCGUGCACCUAUUGAUUUGUUGCCUCUUCCAUCUUCGGAGAAGGUUAAUUUUGAUGCUAAACAACGUGCUGAAUUGAUCUUAAAAAUGCAUGAGUUAACUAAGGAAAACAUUGAGCGUAUGAAUGCUAAAUAUAAACUUGCUGGAGAUAAGGGUAGAAAACAUGUUGUGUUUGCACCUGGAGAUCUUGCUUGGUUACAUUUGCGUAAGGAUAGAUUUCCUAAUUUGCGCAAAUCAAAGCUAAUGCCACGUGCUGAUGGUCCUUUUAAGGUGUUAGAGAAAAUAAAUGAUAAUGCAUAUAAACUUGAGCUGCCUGCAGAUUUUGGGGUUAGUCCCACUUUUAACAUUGCAGAUUUGAAGCCGUAUUUGGGUGAGGAAGAUGAGCUUCCGUCGAGGACGACUUCAUUUCAAGAAGGGGAGGAUGAUGAGGACAUCAAUACCAUUGUUACACCCACAGGCCCUGCUGCUAUACAUACUGGACCAAUUACUAGAGCUCGCGCACGCCAAUUAAAUUACCAGCGACCAGACAAAGGAAACAGACCCUCGUGGUCAGGUUGA
Molecule: ribosomal RNA, 3309 nt
Filed under: Triticum aestivum (bread wheat)
Lineage: Eukaryota; Viridiplantae; Streptophyta; Magnoliopsida; Poales; Poaceae
Description: partial small subunit ribosomal RNA
Source: RNAcentral